This 497-nucleotide ribosomal RNA is filed under the name uncultured bacterium. RNAcentral's name for it is "partial 16S ribosomal RNA". It matches the Rfam family "Bacterial small subunit ribosomal RNA", at positions 28 to 507 of the family's 1533-position model. The record is from RNAcentral.
GAUGAACGCUGGCGGCGUGCCUAAUACAUGCAAGUCGAGCGAACGGACGAGAAACUUGCUUCUCUGAUGUUAGCGGCGGACGGGUGAGUAACACGUGGAUAACCUACCUAUAAGACUGGGAUAACUUCGGGAAACCGGAGCUAAGACCGGAUAAUAUUUUGAACCGCAUGGUUAAAAAGUGAAAGACGGUCUUGCUGUCACUUAUAGAUGGAGCGGCGCUGCAUUAGCUAGUUGGUAAGGUAACGGCUCACCAAGGCAACGAUGCAUAGCCGACCUGAGAGGGUGAUCGGCCACACUGGAACUGAGCCACGGUCCAGACUCAUACGGGAGGCAGCAGUAGGGAAUCUUCCGCAAUGGGCGAAAGCCUGACGGAGCACCGCCGCGUGAGUUAUGAAGGUCUUCGGAUCGUAAAACUCUGUUAUUAGGGAAGAACAUAUGUGUAAGUAACUGUGCACAUCUUGACGGUACCUAAUCAGAAAGCCACGGCUAACUACGUG